This 387-nucleotide ribosomal RNA is filed under the name Triticum aestivum (bread wheat). Its description in RNAcentral is "partial small subunit ribosomal RNA". The record is from RNAcentral. Lineage: Eukaryota; Viridiplantae; Streptophyta; Magnoliopsida; Poales; Poaceae.
AUGCGUCGUAAGACUCUUGCUGGAGUGAACAUUGCCCGAACAAGUGCGGGCCUCUCGCUGCACAGGACCAGUGCAAGGCUCAAAGCUACUGGCAGAGCAAGGGUGGUGCCGGCGCCAGCGGCUAAGGCGGCUGAGAUCCUGGUUGCUCGUAGUCUGGGGAUCUUUAAGGACGGAGAAGACAUCACGGCCAAGGCCCUGGAUGCAUUUGCUGAGCGUUUCAAGGAGCAGCUGCCGCUGGAGGUGAUAUCUGCCAUGCGAGACUUGUUCAGGUUAGAUGAUGUGCAGGCAAUGGGUGUGGAGGACGCCCUCAUCCAGCACGGAGGGGAGGGUGCUAUGGACAUGGAGAGGAUGGAGGAUGCCGCUGCUGCUCUGCAGGCCUCCACCUGA